Peromyscus leucopus (white-footed mouse) is the source of this 1020-nucleotide long non-coding RNA. RefSeq lists it as uncharacterized. NCBI's taxonomy places the organism in Eukaryota, Metazoa, Chordata, Mammalia, Rodentia, Cricetidae. The record is from RefSeq and is a predicted model, not a curated record. The transcript is spliced from 2 exons.
CCUACUGGUCACCCCCCAAAAUUACAGCGCACACAGGCUUUGCUCUGGAGGUUGGGUUAAGAGAGUACCAGGAUCCGGUGGGUUGGACCAGCCAGGGAAGCCUUCCUGAAAGAGGUCCAUUCUGACAGGAAAGCACUUUCAGCCAUUACACAAACACAGAUUACAUGAUUGCAGUCAGGAGAUCCAGGGUGGAAGUUGGAGUCUGACCUCAAAUGUGGAUGCUACCGAUCUCCUGGAUUCCCCAGCCAUGAAAACAAAACACAAUCAAGUCCUGCCUUUGUAGCCUUAUUAACUGAAUUGUCCAGAUGGAAGUCUUGGGUGGACACAAUUCAUUGUCUUCUUGCUUGCUACUGUUCUACUGGCUGGAGGCACCACAGAAAGACUCUGCAAGCCCAGCACCCAUCCUUUCAUCCCUCUGCUUCCUAACCACAUAUAGGAAGAUACCGAGGGCCUCUUCACCUUAGCCUGCUGCCCCAAGUCUUCACAGAGCUGGAGAGGUGGCCAGCACCAGCAGGGACUGAGUGGAAUAGGAAUCAACUCCUUGCACAUCAGAGCAGCUUCCUUUGGAGGUCUGUGAGGUUUCCAAGUCAAAUGCGGGGAGCAGGAGACACAGCGUGGGCGUUCCGAGGGAGCACAAGGAUGACGGAUGCCUCUGUUCCUCCACAUUAGCAAUGCACAUUGCGUAGAAUUAACUGCAAGCUUCCCUGAGAAGAGGGGGACUGGGCAGAGAAGAGUUGGAACGAUCUGAAUGCUAAAUGCAACUUGGUUUCUAAAAUGAGUGUGGUGGACAUAGAUCAUCUGCUGAACUUCCUUUAACCUUCGGCUCCCUGGGUGCAAAUGCUGGGUCGUAACUCUUCAAAUUAGCCAGCCCAGUCUACUCAUGUUACUGAAACCUCAGAGAAACGAUGCAGGGGUUUAGUAUUCAAACAGAGUCCAAGGAUCUGCACAGGGCAUAAAGGGCCUGAAUCUGACCCACACCUUCUUUUCAGAUACUUUCAAAACAAUGUAUUUAUUCAUGUA